This is a long non-coding RNA of Oncorhynchus masou masou (cherry salmon), 1434 nucleotides long. RefSeq lists it as uncharacterized. The transcript has 4 exons. NCBI's taxonomy places the organism in Eukaryota, Metazoa, Chordata, Actinopteri, Salmoniformes, Salmonidae. The record is from RefSeq and is a predicted model, not a curated record.
CAUUCAGGGACAAACACGAGGAGAGGGUAUUCUGAAAGCCCUUGUUACAUUUUUUGCCAAUAACAAUAUUGACUGGUCAAAUCUGUUAUCUGUGUGCACUGACCGCGCCCCAAACAUGCGAGGGAAGGAGAAGGGACUCAUAGGCCUGAUGAAAGAGAGGAUAUUCCCAAAUUAGUCAUGUUUCAUUGUAUCAUUCAUCAGGAAGCACUUGUGGCUAAACUCAAAGACUGACUUACAGAAUGUGAUGCAGCAAGUCGUGCGCGUGGUGAACAUUAUUAUUGCGUGGGCACGGAAUCACCUGCAAUUCCGUGAGUUGCUGGAGGAAACCCAGACAGAACACGGCGACUUGAUAUUUCACAAUGAGUCAAAUCCGGUCCUGCACUCAGUGGAAGAGUUGACCUCUUCUCCAACACCAUUCAUGAUGAGCCUGUCCUGCACUGAAGCCUACAGCAUAUACACACCUCAACUAAAGUCAAGCCUCUGAACACCUCAACUCAUCCUCAUUCAAUCGCUGCUGUAAUCCCGUCCCAACACUGUUGCCGAGGCACUGAUCCAGCAGGUCUUCUGGCACUACGGCCUUCUGGAGGACAUGGCCCCUGACGUGGCCCCCAAUUCAAGUUGCGGGUAUGGAGAGCCUUCAUGGAGAAGCUGGGGGCCGCGGCCAACCUCCCAUCCAGGACCUGAGCCCUAGGACCAUGCCCCAGGACUACCUGACAUGAUGACUCCUUGCUGUCCCCAGUCCACCUGGCCGUGCUGCUGCUCCAGUUUCAACUGUUCUGCCUUAUUAUUAUUCAACCAUGCUGGUUAUUUAUGAACAUUUGAACAUCUUGGCCAUGUUCUGUUAUAAUCUCCACCCGGCACAGCCAGAAGAGGACUGGCCACCCCACAUAGCCUGGUUCCUCUCUAUAUUUCUUGCUAGGUUUUUGCCUUUCUAGGGAGUUUUUCCUAGCCACGGUGCUUCUACACCUGCAUUGCUUGCUGUUCGUGGUUUUAGGCUGGGUUUCUGUACAGCACUUUGAGAUAUCAGCUGAUGUACGAAGGGCUAUAUAAAUAAAUUUGAUUUGAUUUGACUGGAAGCUUCAAAAGGAGGGUGGUGCUUGGAAUCAUUGUUCUUCCUCUGUCAACCAUGGUUACCUGCAAGGAAAUACAUGCCGUCAUCACUGCUUUGCACAAAAAGGGCUUCACAGGCAAGGAUGUUGCUGCCAGUAAGACUGGUCAACACUGCAAAUAUUGACUCUUUGCAUUAACUUCAUGUAAUUGUCAAUAAAAGCCUUUGACACGUAUGAAAUGCUUGUAAUUAUACUUCAGUAUUCCAUAGUAACACCUGACAAUAUCUAAAGACACUGAAGCAGCAAACUUUGUGGAAAAUAGUAUUUGUGUCAUUCUCAACUUUUGGCCACGACUGUAUGGUGACAAAUGAUGUGUUAUUGAUGA